RNAcentral lists this transfer RNA (70 nucleotides) under Margaroperdix madagarensis (Madagascar partridge). Its description in RNAcentral is "tRNA-Ser". Lineage: Eukaryota; Metazoa; Chordata; Aves; Galliformes; Phasianidae. The record is from RNAcentral.
AGGGGAGGACAACCCAAACCAGCAAGAACUGCUAAUUCAUGCAUCCCGAGCCUUAAACCUCGGUCCCCUU